This 21-nucleotide small nuclear RNA is filed under the name Arabidopsis thaliana (thale cress). RNAcentral describes it as "snRNA_18873". The record is from RNAcentral. Lineage: Eukaryota; Viridiplantae; Streptophyta; Magnoliopsida; Brassicales; Brassicaceae.
AAUCGUUCGUCUGACUUGGGU